This 633-nucleotide unclassified non-coding RNA is filed under the name Hevea brasiliensis (rubber tree). Lineage: Eukaryota; Viridiplantae; Streptophyta; Magnoliopsida; Malpighiales; Euphorbiaceae. The record is from RNAcentral.
CCAAUUCUUAUGAUCAAAUUUUAACACAUGGUGAUGGCAGACCUAUGCUUGUUCACACAUUCAAGCUAAAUAGGUUUUUGUGAUAGAAGGCAUAUUAGAAAUAUCAAAUCUAUUAUUUAGUCCUCGCUAGCCUGAACUCUUAGGUUAUUUUUAAUGCAUCAUAUAAAUUAUAAAUCCAAGAAAUGUUGUGUGUUUAUUGAUGAAAUUCAAUUAAAGCUAAUGAAUGGUUAUGGAACCUAAUUACAUGGAUCCAGCAGAAUGUAGCUUUUUCAGGUUGUCAUGUAAAACAAGUUUUAAGAAGACAAGGUCUAGGAUCUGCUUGCAUUAUGCUGCACAGUUGCACCAGCUAUUUAUCUUGCAAAGUUGGAUUUAUGUAGUUGUCACCAACUAGUUUGGGUUAAGGUUUAAUUAACUUGGAUUUAGACUUAAAGUAGCUUUUGAUGAAACAUAUAAAUUUGAAAAUGUGAAGCACUUCACUUUGAAAGCUGUAUUCCAGAUACCAGGCUAUCUGAUAAAAGUUCAUUUACCUGAUUAAAAUGAUGUUGUUGUGAUAUGAUAUGCUGAAUCACACUUCCGAGUUCCGAUUUUGUUUAUUCCUUCAUUGAUUUGGGGUUUAAUAUCUUGUGUGCUUAG